RNAcentral lists this ribosomal RNA (236 nucleotides) under uncultured bacterium. RNAcentral describes it as "partial 16S ribosomal RNA". It matches the Rfam family "Bacterial small subunit ribosomal RNA", at positions 99 to 334 of the family's 1533-position model. The record is from RNAcentral.
CGCACGGGUGAGUAACACGUAUCCAACCUGCCGUCUACUCUUGGCCAGCCUUCUGAAAGGAAGAUUAAUCCAGGAUGGCAUCAUGAGUUCACAUGUCCGCAUGAUUAAAGGUAUUUUCCGGUAGACGAUGGGGAUGCGUUCCAUUAGAUAGUAGGCGGGGUAACGGCCCACCAGUCAACGAUGGAUAGGGGUUCUGAGAGGAAGGUCCCCCACAUUGGAACUGAGACACGGUCCAA